CCAGCAUGAGCAAACCCAACAGCAUUAAGUGAAUGCACUGACAGAUCACAGCUAAUGAGAAAGUAAAGACUCACCAGAUUAUGCAUGUCAUACUAUAGGCCAGUUCAAGGUCCACAGGGAAUAGUUGAAAGGAAAAAAAGGGAAAAACAAACACCAGUGAUCACAGGCAUAUGUAAAGGGUGAAAAAUAGAUAAACAAGCAAACGAAGGCAAAAGAAGUGAGUUUGAAAAAAAUGCCAGUGAGGAGUGGUAACAUAGGUGCACACAACUUUCCUAAACUGGAAACCAAGGUGCAUCAUGUUUACCAGAUGACAGUCAACAGAAUCUGGGGAAAACACAAAGAGAACGCAAGUGGUGAGCACAUGUCCUGGAGAGUUACAGUCCAGUUGACAAAGUGACAAAAGACAGAAGGUUUGUUUGUUAUGCGGUGAUGGAUUUAAAUUUUGUCUCACUGUGCUAUGUUCAAAUGUAGUUAUUUGUAAAAAUAAAAAAUAAAAAAUAAAAAUUGUUUGCAGUAAAUGUUAAUACCAGUAUGUUCAGAAUUGAUUUUGAUCAUAUCGGCUGUUUAGGAAAGGUAGCUACAGUUACUGUGCUAUGGUUACAUCAUAGUCAAUAGUUCAUAGCCAUAAAAUCCAUUGGAUCAUGGCAGAUUUAUUCAGAGAAAUGGC
This is a long non-coding RNA of Ictalurus punctatus (channel catfish), 667 nucleotides long. NCBI's taxonomy places the organism in Eukaryota, Metazoa, Chordata, Actinopteri, Siluriformes, Ictaluridae. The record is from Ensembl.